Molecule: ribosomal RNA, 534 nt
Filed under: uncultured Pseudomonadota bacterium
Lineage: Bacteria; Pseudomonadati; Pseudomonadota
Description: bacterial SSU rRNA
Rfam family: Bacterial small subunit ribosomal RNA
Source: RNAcentral
AACGAACGCUGGCGGCAUGCCUAACACAUGCAAGUCGAACGAACCCUUCGGGGUGAGUGGCGCACGGGUGCGUAACGCGUGGGAACCUGCCUUUUGGUUCGGAAUAACAGUUAGAAAUGACUGCUAAUACCGGAUAAUGUCUUCGGACCAAAGAUUUAUCGCCAUUAGAGGGGCCCGCGUAGGAUUAGCUAGUUGGUGGGGUAAAGGCUCACCAAGGCGACGAUCCUUAGCUGGUCUUAGAGGAUGAUCAGCCACACUGGGACUGAGACACGGCCCAGACUCCUACGGGAGGCAGCAGUGGGGAAUAUUGGACAAUGGGCGAAAGCCUGAUCCAGCAAUGCCGCGUGAGUGAUGAAGGCCUUAGGGUUGUAAAGCUCUUUUACUGGGGAUGAUAAUGACAGUACCCAGAGAAUAAGCCCCGGCUAACUCCGUGCCAGCAGCCGCGGUAAUACGGAGGGGGCUAGCGUUGUUCGGAAAUACUGGGCGUAAAGCGCACGUAGGCGGCGAUUCAAGUCAGAGGUGAAAGCCCGGGGC